This is a long non-coding RNA of Perognathus longimembris pacificus (Pacific pocket mouse), 890 nucleotides long. RefSeq lists it as uncharacterized. The record is from RefSeq and is a predicted model, not a curated record. NCBI's taxonomy places the organism in Eukaryota, Metazoa, Chordata, Mammalia, Rodentia, Heteromyidae. The transcript is spliced from 3 exons.
AAGUAUUUUGCAAAUAAUACUUCCUAGAAGAAAAUGAUGGAAGAAAGAAACAGGAAGUAAAUGUGAGAGAUCAGGGAACACAAGGAAUUAUUUCAUUUCACUCCUUGUGACAGUGAACUUGCCCACAGUGAUUUCCUUCAGUGUCUAUGAGGGAGAUGAUUCCUGUCCUUUCAGUUCUGGCUCUCUUCCAAUGACCACGCCCUCCUGAGUCACAUGACAUCCCUCCCCACAGUCCUAGGCCUUGUGAUAAUGGUCUACCCCUAGACCUUGCACUGGAAGCUUUGCUCUGCCAUAAUCUGAACUUCAAGCACAAAAUUUCCUGAAAACCACUUCCUGUCUUUCUACGCCUCUGUAUAAAUGGAGUGAGCGAACUAUUCUUUAAAGGUUAGUCAGCCGGCCAGACAUAAGCAGCACUGUCUUCAAGUACAUGAUUUAGAUAACAGAGCCCUAUUAUUCCCAAUUGUUAACUCACCUGCAAUGCUAGCAAAGUUAGGAUCAAUGUGUAAAGGAUUCCAGUCUCCACUGAGGCGGUACAAAGCAGCCUGAUUAAGUGAGGUGGUAUCUGUAAGUACAGCAUCAGGGGGCCUGUUAGGUAUGGCCACAGGUGCCUGAAAUUAAAAAAAAAAAAUUACAUGUCAUCUCUUACUAUAAAUGCUGGAUUCUCUUCACCUACAUGGACAGUCAUGUUUCAGUAGAAUAAAACUGGGAGAAAAGGGGUUGUGUUUUAAAUGCCUUAUUAUGCGAGGCAAGCAUUCUACCACUAGGUCAUAUUCCCAGCCCCCAAAUGCCUUAUUAGGUUGAGGAUAAUGAAAUUUUAAACAAAAUUCCUAGUUUCAAGUGAAUUACAAUUUUCCUAGUUCUCGCUAAUGGAAGGAAUUAUAUAUAAUCAG